RNAcentral lists this ribosomal RNA (484 nucleotides) under uncultured bacterium. RNAcentral describes it as "partial 16S ribosomal RNA". It matches the Rfam family "Bacterial small subunit ribosomal RNA", at positions 30 to 507 of the family's 1533-position model. The record is from RNAcentral.
AUUGAACGCUGGCGGCAGGCCUAACACAUGCAAGUCGAGCGGAUGAAGGGAGCUUGCUCCUGGCUUCAGCGGCGGACGGGUGAGUAAUGCCUAGGAAUCUUCCUGGUCGUGGGGGAUAACGUCCGGGAACGGGCGCUAAUACCGCAUACGUCCUGAGGGAGAAAGUGGGGGUUCUUCAGACCUCUCGCUCUCAGAUGAGCCUAGGUCGGAUUAGCUAGUUGGUGGGGUAAAGGCCUACCAAGGCGACGAUCCGUAACUGGUCUGAGAGGAUGAUCAGUCACACUGGAACUGAGACACGGUCCAUACGCCUACGGGAGGCAGCAGUGGGGAAUAGUGGACAAUGGGCGAAAGCCUGAUCCAGCCAGGCCGCGUGUGUGAAGAAGGUCUUCGGAUUGUAAAGCACUUUAAGUUGGGAGGAAGGGCAGUAAGUUAAUACCUUGCUGUUUUGACGUUACCAACAGAAUAAGCACCGGCUAACUUCGUG